RNA transcript from Dreissena polymorpha, 4522 nucleotides. It is a transcript of the gene named protein bicaudal D homolog 2-like, with no coding region annotated. The transcript is spliced from 5 exons. The record is from RefSeq and is a predicted model, not a curated record. NCBI's taxonomy places the organism in Eukaryota, Metazoa, Mollusca, Bivalvia, Myida, Dreissenidae.
GACUCAUCAAUUACUGACAUACAUUAAACAUGGCGGAAAUGUCAUAGCGUAGCGCAGUAAACGCGUCCAUCCGUAGAGAUUUUUCUUGAAUUUCGCAUUGUUUCUGACACAUCCUGUGAUCAUGUCUGACCACGAUAUUUCAGCACUCUCUCUGGAGGACCUGAGGGUCGAAAUCGGUAGACUUCACCAGGAACUAACGGAAACCAAUCAAGAAAAAAUCCGUGCGGCGGAAUAUGGAUUGGCAGUGUUGGAAGAACGAAAUAACCUGGAAGCUCGAAUCGAGGAGCUAGAAGCCCAUCUCGAGGCGAGCAAAACUGAGUUGGAGCAUGCGAAAGAGGCUCUAAGUAAACAUCAGGUGACUUUUCGAAAACAAAAUGAGAGUGGCAUUAACAUAGAAGAUUCAAUAAUCCAAGAAUCAGCUUCAAGAGAGCAAGGAUAUAAAGAGAACAUCACAGAAUUAGAAGCUGAACUAAAAAAUGUCAAGCAGACCAAAGAACGCUUGGUUUCGGAACAUUCCACCAUGGCUAGUCUUGUUUCAGACUUACAAACAAAGGUUGAUCAAUUGGAAGAUCAGAGGCGCCAGCUUAAGAGUGAGUUAAAAGAAUUCAAAGUCCGCGAAAACAGAAAUAUAAGUGAUUAUGGUGAGCUGGAAGAUGAAAACAUUUCUCUUCAGAAACAGGUUUCUGUGCUUAAACAGAGUCAGGUUGAAUAUGAAGGCUUGAAACAUGAGAAAAAGCGAUUAGAAGAAGAGAUGGAUGAUUUACACAUGCAGUUGGAAGAAAGUUCAACUUUGAAAAAGAUAGUUGAUAAGAACCUUGAAGAAGCUCUUAAUGCCUUGCAAGUUGAAAGAGAACAAAAACAUGCUUUAAAAAAGGAGUUGGAUGCAAAAACCAUGCAGGAGUCCAUGUUUCAUUUGAGUAAUUUAGCUCAGCUUAGUGGCUUAAGUGAAGGUUUGACUAUGAGUUACACAGAAGUUGAUCAUGAUGACGAUGAAAGUCAUGAUACUGCUGGAAUAAAGGCUGAUCCUAACAGUGAUACUAAACAAUUUAUGGUUAAUUCAAGAAAGUCAUCAGGAAAGGUUAAUGAUAUAUUGAGUGAAAUUCAACAUAAUGAAGUGAAGAAACUGUCAGAUCUUCUGGAACAAAGUGAAGAUGAAAAAUCAGAAAUGCAAAAGGCGUUAGAUGAAGCAAAGAGGUUAAUUCAAGAAACACAGAAAGAUCUAAUUGAUCAGCGUGAUAGGGUGAAUCAUUUGAAAUCUCAGAUAACAACAGCUCUUGGUGUAAAUGGUAGUGUGUCUACACCUGAUACUGCUGCAGCUGAGGAGUUUGAUAGGCUUAUUGAAAAUGAGUCAGAUGAUGAAAAGAAAGCACUAUUGCAAUUGAAGAAAAAUCUGGUAUUAAAUGAACAUAAAUAUGCCAAUGCAUUGAAACAAAUGGGUGAUUUACAAUUGGAAAUCAGCAAACUAAUGGAAAAGAAUGCCAAUGGAACUUUAAGUUCUGAAGAUCCAAAUGUUACUGAGUCAUUGAAUCAGCUGUUUUCAAAAUGCAAACAAUAUGAAGAAAUAAUUAAGGACAUGGAAAAAGACCUUAAAAUUGUCUCCAAGGUUGCUGGUGAGUCACAGUCCUCAUUGAAUGCUACACAGGAUGAAAUGUUAAAAGUGACUGAAGAACUAGCUCAGUUGUAUCACUUGGUCUGUGAAGUGAGUGGAGAAACUCCAAGCCGGGUAAUGCUUCAGCAUGCAAAAGCUAUUGACAAAAUCACAAAAUCUGAUUCUAAACCUGAAAUUGAAGACACUGAAAAAGAACCAGAAUCUUCACCAGAUACAGAUUCUCUCUUGCGGAAAAAGAAGAGAGCUAAACCAAAGAAAACAUCUGUGGAAGAAUUGGAGAAUAGUGUGAAAGCAAAUGCCAUCUCUUGUGCAAAACUGAGUGAGACUAUUCUUGACCAGACCAAACAUCUGAAAAAAUCUGUGGAGCAUUUAAUGGAAGUUUCCAGGAGAACAACAGAUGACAAUGAACAGUCUGAUGCUCAAGAACUUCAAGAGCAAAUUGUAAAACUGAAAGCAAUGUUGUCAACAAAGAGGGAGCAGAUUGCCACCCUUAGAAGUGUUUUGAAAGCCAACAAGUCAACUGCUGAAUUUGCUCUAGCAAACCUGAAACAGAAGUAUGAAAACGAAAAGGUCAUUGUCACAGAGACAAUGAUGAAGUUAAGGAAUGAACUGAAAGCACUGAAGGAGGAUGCAGCCACAUUUGCCUCUCUUCGGGCUAUGUUUGCUCAGCGUUGUGACGAGUAUGUGACUCAGUUGGACGAAUAUCAGCGCCAGUUGGCUGCCGCAGAGGAGGAAAAGAAGACUCUGAACUCUCUCCUAAGAAUGGCUAUCCAGCAAAAGCUUGCUCUGACUCAGCGUCUGGAAGACUUGGAGUUUGAUCGAGAGCGACGAAACAUGAGGCGCCCACCAGGGGGUGGUAGUGGUGGUGGUGGACGUAACAAGUCGGGGGCUUCAAAAGUAAGUCACUACAAUGAUGAACAGUCAUAUAGUGGGCGCUAUGGGGGAGGCAGACACCAAAACUAUCAAAACCAUCAUAGCCAUUCAAACCGAAGAGAUUAUUAGACCCUGAUUCCUUCAUCAUUGAGACAGCUGAUCUUUCUUUUAUGGGAGCAAUGUUUCUCCCUCCCUGGCAGUUGUUCAAGCCCACGGGCUAACAUGACCACCAGUAUGGAAUCAUCCAAUGGCUUUUUGUAAAUUGUUGAGCAGUGUUUUGAUUUAGUUCUGCUACCUUUGAAGGAACAGAGUCACAGUUACCAAAGACAUUUGCCCUGACCUUGCAUAGGUAAAGGUCACAGCUAUCUGCCAUAUUGAUAUUCCUUGUCAUGUUUAUGCUAUUCUGCACAGGUUUGUUUACCUUUUUAACUGCUGCUACUUUUCACAGUGAAUUUGUGUUGCCAUUUUGCUUUUUGUAACAGUGUAAACAUUUCGGAUGACCUUGACAUUAGAAUGUAGGUCAUCACCAGUAGCAACACAGUUCAGACUGGGGUAGCAGCAGAUCAAGCCAGUAAUUGGUCAAAAUGACCGAUCAGAUUUACAUUGAUAUGACUGUUCAUAGUGUAAAUUAUUAGAAUUUGUAGUAAAAUGUGACAAGCGGUCAUUGCCAAUAUCAUUUUAUUGUACUGUUGUUGCCUAGAGCCUUUGUAUAGCGAUCUGUGAUUAUAAUAUCUGACUAUAGCAAAUUUAUUAUGUUAUUUUAUUCCAAAUUUGUUCUAGUUCAAAUAUUUUAGGGAUUAAUAUACAUAUUGAUUUUAAUCUGGGUAUAAUAUACAGGUAUAUCUAGUGCAAUCAAAUACUUAGUAGAACAUUUCAACAGAUUUAUGUUAUGGUUGCUUUUAGUAGAUCAGUUAUAUCAUGGGUGGUUGACAUGUAACCUCAUGUAAUAUUUUUGUGUUUUGACUACUUAAUGAUAAUGAAAUUAAUAUAUAUAUUUAUUCAGAAUCAUUCUGACUAAAACAUUAAUUUUGUUCUUUAAUUUAUAUAUACAUUUUUAACAUUUUGGUGCUCCUAUGUAUUUUUUAUUUUCAUGUGGUGUACCACAGCAGGUCUGCUUUUUAAAUGUUUGUCAUUAAAUAGUCACUUGUUUGUGAGUUUAAUAAGAAAUCUUUAUCAUAUGCAUAACAGGAUUUUAGAAAUAAAAUACAUUAAUAUUAUUAAGAGUAUUUAUAGAUUAUUGUGUCUGGUGUAUUAUGAAGAAAAAAGUUAUUCAAAUUGAUAAAACUGUGAUUUGUUAGAUCAUGUCAUAUUUGUUCCUUUGUAAGAGACAUGCAUUAUUUUUCCAAGAAUGACAAAUGUGUUCAAUAAAUAUAUGGUCUUGUGUUCCAACAAAUUUCAUAUUUAUUAUAAAGUGCUCUUUUACUUCUUCAUUACAUUUUAAUACUGGCCUUUGUAUUUAUCAAUUAAAUAAAGUUUUAAAAACUUCGAGACCUUUUGGAAAUUGCAUGUUCUUGACUGCUAGGCCACAUAUGCAUGUACAUCAUGGGUGAAACAUAUUUUGUUUAAUAUUUAUUUACCAUUUAUCACUUUAACUCUUAACAGCUUUCACAUAUAAAUAUUAUUGUCUAGAAGUGUACAUUAUAUUAGGGUUAUUUUAUAUUUACAUUUUAUUGUCCAUGCCUAAAUUAUGAUGUGAUUGUUUUUUACACAUAUGUUCUACAUUCAAGCAAUAGGUAUUAUAAAUAUUGUUUGUACUCUUGGUGUUUUCAAGAAGACAAUUUUUAGCUACAUCUAAAAGCUUUACUAAUGUUUUUAAAAUUAAUAAUGUUGGCUUGAUUUGAGAAACUUUUCACAAUUGACAUUUGUUUUCAAUGUGUUUGUAUAUUAAAGUAUCUUUUUUUUAUAAACAAAAUGUAAAAUUGUUCACACUUUUUUAACAGCUUGCAUGGAUUUCAUUGGUUGGAUUGUGAUGUAACAUUUUAUAUGUUUUUUAUGUAUUUGUUUGUCUUAAAAAGUAAAAUAAAUAUUACUGAAAUUACA